AUGAAUCCAGAAUGUUCCAUAGUACAUUACCAAAGUGCACAGCUGAGCUUGUCCUCCAGCGCACACUUCAAAACUUCCCUUCUUAUGCCCUGUGGGCUGUCAGUCUCUUUCAUUCCACCUACUCUGAAUAGAUCUCUUUUCACUGCCUCUCUUUUCCCCUCUCCUCUUUUCCUGUUUCCUAGCUUAUUGGUUUUUCCUUUUGUUCCAGCUUUACUGUGGUAUAACUGUUAAAUAAAAAUUAUAUAUAUUUAAGGCAUAUGAAAUCAUACUUUCAUAUAUGUAUACAUUGUGAAAUGAUUACCACAAUCAAGCUAAUUUUCAUAUCACUGACCUCACAUAGUUACAAUUCUUUGUGUGUGAUGAGAACACAUAAGAUCAAUUCUCCUAGAAAAUUUCAAGGAUAUAAUACAGUAUAAUUACCUGCAGGUACCAUGCUGUACAUUAGAUCUUCAGCACUUAUUCAUAUUACAUAAAAGGACUAUGUACACUUUGACCAACAUUUUCCCAUUUUUCCCACCUCUCAGAACCCAGCAACCACUGUUCUAUCUCUGAGUUCCACUUUUUAGCAUUUCACACAAAUACUACAUGAGAUCAUGUAGUAUUUGUCUUUACUCUGUCUAGCUUAUUUCAUUUAGCCAAUGUCCUCCAGGUUCAUCCAUGUUGUUGCAGAUUUCCUCUUUUUGUAAGGCUGAAUAUAUAAUUACAUUUUCUCAUCUAUUCAUCUGUCAAAAAACAUUUAGUUUGUUUCCAUAUAUUGGAUAUUGUGAAUAAUGCUGCAAUGAACAUGCUGGUGCAGAUAUGCCUUCAAUAUACUAAUUUCAUGAUUUGAGACAGAUAUCCAGAACUGGGUUUGCUGGAUUAUACGGCAGUUCUAUUUUUUAAUUUUUUUUAGGACCCUUCAUGCUGUUCCAUAACAGCUAUACCAAUGUACAUUCCCUCCAACAGUGCACAAGGGUUCCCCUUUCUCUACAUUCUUACCAACAAAAUAUCUAAAAAGGAAAUUAAAAAAACUAUCCCAUUUAUAGUAGCAAACAAAAAGUCUAAAAUACUUAGGAAAAAAACAUAACCAGAGUUGAAAGACUUGUACACUGAAAAUUAUAAAACAUUGAUGAAGGAAUUAAAGAAGACACAAAUAAAUGUAAAGACAUCCCACUUUUCA
Molecule: long non-coding RNA, 1159 nt
Filed under: Sus scrofa (pig)
Lineage: Eukaryota; Metazoa; Chordata; Mammalia; Artiodactyla; Suidae
Description: lncRNA (ENSSSCG00035046921.1)
Source: RNAcentral